GUUUCUGACACAAAAGGUAAAAGAUUUGAAGGUUGCUGUUCGAGAUCUCAAUUUCGAAUUUUAAUUAUUACAUAUUUUUAACUAAAUUUAUUUUUUUUAAAAAAUAAACAAAAUAGGUAGCAUAUUAUCUAUCUCUAAAAAAAAAGCAACAACAGCUACAUUAUAUAAAAUAAAAUACAUUGUAAAUAAAUUAAAUUGCGUUAAAUAAAAUUAUAAAAUGUUUAAUCACCGGCAUAUAAUAAUAAUAAUAAUAAUAUAUUAAAAUAAUAAUUGUAAAAUUUUAAUAUUUUUAUAUUAUAUAAAAAUGUUAUUUUGUUGAAUAUUAUGAAUUUAUGUGAAAUAAUUGGUAAAAAAAAGACCUUUUGAGAGAAAGGUAGGAUGCUACCCGCUUCAUUUAUUUUGGGUCUCGGAUACCAAUCAUCAAAAGCCCUUUUACCACUUGCGCUAGGGACGGUUAGUACUUCAUAAUGACUUUCAAUUGUAGCAAAACAUUUAUUAAAAAAAUUAAUUAAACUAAGUAAUAGUAGAUAUUAAAGUUUAGCUUAAAACUUAAAAUAUUAGGAUCAAAGUAAAAAAAAAAAAUCAUUGAAUAAAUCUGAAAGAAAGAAAACAAAAUAAACUAAUGAAAAAUAAAGAAAAUAAAGGAAUUUAUCGAUGAACAAUAAUAUUUAUACAUCGAAAAUAAGUAAGUUUUAUAUCUUUUUUAUUCAAAAAAUUAUUUUCAUACAAAUUGUAUAUUUAUUUUUUAUACUAAAAUUUUAUUAUUAUAAUUAUUUUGUUAGAGAUAGGUAACAUACUACUCGCUUUGUUUAUUUCAUUUAAAAACAAACUUAGUUGGAAAUGUGAAUUUUGAACUAGGGAUCUGGAGAACCAACAAGCACU
This 882-nucleotide long non-coding RNA is filed under the name Ananas comosus (pineapple). RNAcentral's name for it is "long non-coding RNA (ACOM_LNC018942)". The record is from RNAcentral. Lineage: Eukaryota; Viridiplantae; Streptophyta; Magnoliopsida; Poales; Bromeliaceae.